This is a long non-coding RNA of Carya illinoinensis, 1224 nucleotides long. RefSeq lists it as uncharacterized. The transcript has 2 exons. NCBI's taxonomy places the organism in Eukaryota, Viridiplantae, Streptophyta, Magnoliopsida, Fagales, Juglandaceae. The record is from RefSeq and is a predicted model, not a curated record.
GAAUCCGUGAGAUGGGCAAGUUUGGGUCCUGGGAGCAUAGAGGUGUAUAUAAAAGGAAAGAGCUGAAACCCUAGAUGAGAAAUCAUCAACUACUUGAUCUUAUCUGAGCAGAGUGUGAGAGCAAGGACUGGUUGGUAUGUGGCGGUCUCAAAUCGAAAAGUUCCCUUCUUGGAUGUCUUUGAAUAUCCGGCUGAAGCUACCCUCUCCCCUGAAUUUUGUAACGAAGAUCAUGGGGGCUGCUGGCUGCUCAACCAUAGAAAGACCAAGAAAGAUAUGCGGGCUUUUCUUUGACUCCAUUUGCCAUAAAGUCUUUAAAUUUCACCCUUUUGCGAUGAAGACUGCCUGCACGCUGAGCCCUUUUCUUUACUUUAAAUCGAACGGGCAGUGAUGGUCUUGCGGGCUUUAAAGUUCCGAAUUUGUUUCUUUGGCUGUUACUUAUUUGCUGAACUGAAUGGUUUUGUUUUUGUUUUCUUCAUAUAUUUACGUGUCUCUAUGAAUGCGUGUGUAUUUGUAUGUAUGUAGAAUGCCUGUUUCAAACAGAGUGGUACUUGUUAGCUGCUGGUAGUUCUUUUUAUUUUUAGCAAUUUAUGGUGAUGGGGUAGCUAUUGGACGAUUUAAUGUUAAAUACAAUCUUAUUCACAAAGAAAUAAUGUUUAAGACAAUCUUGACAUGGUUAAUGUUUCAUUGUUUCUUUAUUAUGAGAGGGCAGGAAUGAAGAUAGACAGAAGGGGUGCGGGGGUCAAGAUGAGAACGCAGACGAUGCUUCCUUCUACAAAGGACUUUGUUGGGAAAGGAUAUAUUGAACAUUGCAACGAAGUCUGCCCAUCAAUCACCGCAACACUUACUACCAUUCCCUUCCUGAGUUUCUACCACAAAAGUACAAAACAGAGCUUCCACAUACUACCGCUCCCUUCCCGAAGUUUAUACCAUAAACAGAGCAUCAACGACGAGCUUGAGGGAGGGAGGAGGGAGAGAGAGACUUGGGGGAGAGAGAGCCUUUCGGGCUUGAGCCUUGAGGACAGAGGGCUUUUUCAGCUCAAACCAGUUCUAUGUCAUAUAUCCUACGUGACUCCCUCAUAUUGGAGGGUGUAAAUUUGAAUUUAUCACUGCAUCCAGUUUGAAGUUUUUCUCUUAACUUUAAUCAUCGAAUUAUGUAAGAUUUUGUUCCACGUCUGUUAUGAAGUGUUGGCAGAGAAUAAGAAAAGGUGAAAAAAAAAGAAGUAA